This 245-nucleotide ribosomal RNA is filed under the name uncultured bacterium. RNAcentral's name for it is "partial 16S ribosomal RNA". It matches the Rfam family "Bacterial small subunit ribosomal RNA", at positions 524 to 770 of the family's 1533-position model. The record is from RNAcentral.
UACGAAGGGGCUAGCGUUGCUCGGAAUCACUGGGCGUAAAGGGUGCGUAGGCGGGUCUUUAAGUCAGGGUGAAAUCCUGGAGCUCAACUCCAGAACUGCCUUUGAUACUGAAGAUCUUGAGUUCGGGAGAGGUGAGUGGAACUGCGAGUGUAGAGGUGAAAUUCGUAGAUAUUCGCAAGAACACCAGUGGCGAAGGCGGCUCACUGGCCCGAUACUGACGCUGAGGCACGAAAGCGUGGGGAGCA